UACAGAGGGUGCAAGCGUUAAUCGGAAUUACUGGGCGUAAAGCGCGCGUAGGUGGUUUGUUAAGUUGGAUGUGAAAGCCCCGGGCUCAACCUGGGAACUGCAUUUGUGACUGCAAGGCUAGAAUCUGGCAGAGGGGGGUAGAAUUCCACGUGUAGCAGUGAAAUGCGUAGAUAUGUGGAGGAAUACCGAUGGCGAAGGCAGCCCCCUGGGCUAAGAUUGACGCUCAUGCACGAAAGCGUGGGGAGCAAACAGG
This 253-nucleotide ribosomal RNA is filed under the name uncultured bacterium. Its description in RNAcentral is "partial 16S ribosomal RNA". It matches the Rfam family "Bacterial small subunit ribosomal RNA", at positions 524 to 776 of the family's 1533-position model. The record is from RNAcentral.